Long non-coding RNA from Sabethes cyaneus, 540 nucleotides. RefSeq lists it as uncharacterized. The transcript has 3 exons. NCBI's taxonomy places the organism in Eukaryota, Metazoa, Arthropoda, Insecta, Diptera, Culicidae. The record is from RefSeq and is a predicted model, not a curated record.
GUCCAAGCCGCAUCCUGGCCUCGUGAAAGUGAAAGAUGACCACGACAGUGACGACUUCGAUGAUAUCAAACACGCUGCAUCUUCAAUUGUCGACGGUGGUGUGGAACUGGAACCGAACGACAGGCCGAUACUGCUGGAUGUGCUUAGAAAGCGAACAUUUUCAGUCGAAGUACAUUCUCUUCAACGAACGCUACUAAGCUACAAAGAAACGAAAGACUGCUGCCAAAUUUACGCCAACGACGACUGCUACUCGUUAUUAAGUAGCAAUCGUGAUCUGAUCAAGGAUGCCGUUUCGCUUGGCCAUUGCCUCUGGAUAAAAUGAUUGAGCAUAUUUACUUAGCAUCGACAACAUUGGGAAGGUUCUUAUUACAUUUUAAUAUUAUGUACCGUGCAAGCACCAUAUUCAAAACAGUGCCUAAUUCUGAACAGUUUCAUUAUUCAUAAAUAUUAACAAAAUUCUAGUUAUUUAAACAAAUUAAUCACUACAUCUGAUGAUUUCAUAUUACUAAAAUGGUUUAAAUAGCUAGAGUUUUGUCAAUA